AAGUCGUAACAAGGUCUCCGUAGGUGAACCUGCGGAGGGAUCAUUAACACUGAUCAAUGAUUCAGGUCGAAAGACUCGUUUCAUUGUAUCUAUCCAUACACCGUUGAACUAGGUUGCUUUGACAACCAAUCCUAUCCCCAUCGCUUUGAUCUUGUUUAGAUGGUUGGUACGGAUGAUGUGUACUUGUAUACAUCAUCGCUGUCUAGACUUACAUAUCAUCGCUUUGGACUGUAAUUACCAUCGUACCAAGGUUAACUCCUUACAUUUCAAUCUUUCUUUGAAAGAGUGAUCUGUAUUUUCACCCCUAUGACAAUUGUACUGAUACAAAUGGAGUCAACUGAAAAGUUGAUCUCUAAUCCAUGAUUAUCUAUAAUCUAAGCACAACUCUUAGCAACGGAUAUCUUGGUUCUC
RNAcentral lists this unclassified non-coding RNA (411 nucleotides) under fungal sp. RNAcentral describes it as "partial internal transcribed spacer region". The stretch from base 1 to 46 matches the Rfam family "Eukaryotic small subunit ribosomal RNA", at positions 1786 to 1831 of the family's 1831-position model. Lineage: Eukaryota; Fungi. The record is from RNAcentral. RNAcentral also lists the same sequence under 1 other name.